Molecule: long non-coding RNA, 986 nt
Organism: Labeo rohita (rohu)
Lineage: Eukaryota; Metazoa; Chordata; Actinopteri; Cypriniformes; Cyprinidae
Exons: 3
Source: RefSeq, a predicted model, not a curated record
GUGAUCUGGAUCAGAAUAAACCAAUGUCUGAGGUGACGGGACACUCAGGAGAGUCUGUGGUUCUGCCCUGCUCAUGUACUGAACUACAGGAUAAACCUGAACAACUUACAUGGACAUUUACUCCACUAAACUUGGAAUAAACCCUGAAAAAAUUUACCCGCAUGAACAGAGCGAGAGACACACUGGUCGAGUCAAACUGUUGAUUGAAAUUUCUCCAGGAAAUCUCUCUCUACAGAUAUCAAACCUAAGCGAAGAGGACCAGGGAGAAUAUCACUGCUCUGUCUCAUCUCAACGACACGUCAGCAUCAGACUCAGUGUUCAAGAGGAAAAUUACUUUCAAUCAAUCUGUUUAUCAACCCAUAAACCUGCAAAACACGGAGAAGAACGUUCAACUACUCAACACUCAGGAGGGAUAUCGAGAAAACAACCACAAGUCUCACCUUAAUGAUGAGCUGACAUGUUCAAACAGCAGACACAACACAGCAUGUGGAGUCUACAAGAAACCAAAUAAAUUGAAACUUAAAAUUAUAACCUGCAUUUUAUUUGAAACUUUUAUUACUUUCUGUUGUGGAUAACCUGUUUUACACCCUCUGUUUUAACUCAACUUUUCUAGUCUAUACCUUCUUUAAUUAUAAUAUGUGUGUAUAUGUGUGUUUUUAGAUAACUUUCAAAAAGCCUUUUUGCUGCUUGAUUGGACUGCAAAUAUCACAUAAAGAAAAUGUAUCAAACCAGACCAAAAGAAGUGCUUAUGAGCAGAACAUCAGUAGCCCAUUCUGAUUAAUCUCAAUGACAGGUUUCCUGAAGGCACUGUUAACUUGUUAUCAUUGUUAUCUUUUAACAUUUUGAUGAUUUACCAAAUAAUGGUGUAUGUAUGUCUUUUUCCAGGAGUGUACUAUUUUAUUACAAUAAUAAUAUUGUCAAAAUGAUUGAGUACAUUAUGGUUAGAGAUCCUGACCUCUGACAUUACUUAAGAGAAUAAACAUUUG